AAAAUGAUUAGCUGAGCAUGCAUCCACAGAAUGAAUAAAACUCAUGCUGUUGAAUGCAAGAUCAAGAACUGUUGAAUUUUGACCUCAGCACUGAUCUUCUGCUCUACCCUGACCUGCAUUAAGAAAAUCGGAUCAGAUGAUGCCAGCUAGACAAACUCAGUCCACUGGGUUUGAAAAGGCAGGGAGAGAAGGUUCCAUGGCUUGCUUUAUUCAUUUACAUUAAGAAUUUGUGCUUGCAACUAAUUUGAGAAAAUAUCUUCCAGAGGGGACUAGUUGUUGAGACAAGCUAUUCAC
RNAcentral lists this long non-coding RNA (294 nucleotides) under Numida meleagris (helmeted guineafowl). Its description in RNAcentral is "lncRNA (ENSNMEG00000022168.1)". The record is from RNAcentral. Lineage: Eukaryota; Metazoa; Chordata; Aves; Galliformes; Numididae.